RNAcentral lists this ribosomal RNA (693 nucleotides) under bacterium enrichment culture clone BH74. RNAcentral's name for it is "bacterial SSU rRNA". It matches the Rfam family "Bacterial small subunit ribosomal RNA", at positions 68 to 734 of the family's 1533-position model. The record is from RNAcentral.
GAGAAAGCCAUGACUUCGGUUGGGCGAGUAAAGUGGCGCACGGGUGAGUAACGCGUAGGCAACCUACCCUUGAAUUUGGGAUAACAGUGCGAAAGUGCUGCUAAUACCGGAUACGACCCUUUUGUGCUGGGCGAAAGGGUGAAAGUCGGCCACUGAAACAAGCCGACGUUCGGGGAUGGGCCUGCGUCCUAUCAGCUGGUUGGUAGGGUAACGGCCUACCAAGGCGACGACGGGUAGCUGGUCUGAGAGGAUGAUCAGCCACACUGGCACUGGAACACGGGCCAGACUCCUACGGGAGGCAGCAGUGAGGAAUUUUGCGCAAUGGCCGCAAGGCUGACGCAGCAACGCCGCGUGGGUGAAGAAGGCCUUCGGGUCGUAAAGCCCUGUCAGGUGGGAAGAACGACACGGGGAGGAAUAUGCUCUGUGAGUGACGGUACCACCAGAGGAAGCACCGGCUAACUCCGUGCCAGCAGCCGCGGUAAUACGGAGGGUGCGAGCGUUAUUCGGAAUUACUGGGCGUAAAGCGCGUGUAGGCGGCCAACCAAGUCUGAUGUGAAAGCCCUGGGCUUAACCUGGGAAGUGCAUUGGAAACUGGCUGGCUUGAGUACUGGAGAGGAAGGGGGAAUUCCCGGUGUAGAGGUGAAAUUCGUAGAGAUCGGGAGGAAUACCAGUGGCGAAGGCGCCCUUCUGGAC